Molecule: ribosomal RNA, 754 nt
Filed under: uncultured bacterium
Lineage: Bacteria
Description: bacterial SSU rRNA
Rfam family: Bacterial small subunit ribosomal RNA
Source: RNAcentral
GAACGCUGGCGGCGUGCCUAACACAUGCAAGUCGAGCGAGAAAGUCUCCUUCGGGAGGCGAGUAAAGCGGCGAACGGGUGAGUAACACGUGAGCGAUCUACCCGACGGCGGGGGAUAACUCAGGGAAACCUGAGCUAAUACCGCAUACAGCACUGGCUUGGAAGCCGGAUGUGAAAGCUGGCCUCUCGAAGAAGCUGGCACCGUUGGAUGAGCUCGCGGCCUAUCAGCUUGUUGGUGGGGUAACGGCCUACCAAGGCGAUGACGGGUAGCUGGUCUGAGAGGACGAUCAGCCACACUGGGACUGAGACACGGCCCAGACUCCUACGGGAGGCAGCAGUGGGGAAUAUUGCACAAUGGGCGCAAGCCUGAUGCAGCAAUGCCGCGUGUGUGAAGAAGGCCUGAGGGUUGUAAAGCACUUUCAGUGGGGAGGAAACCGUAACGGAACAAUACCCGUUACCUUGACGUUACCCACAGAAGAAGCACCGGCUAACUCUGUGCCAGCAGCCGCGGUAAUACAGAGGGUGCGAGCGUUAAUCGGAAUUACUGGGCGUAAAGCGCGCGUAGGCGGCCUGAUCAGUCGGAUGUGAAAGCCCCGGGCUUAACCUGGGAAUUGCAUACGAUACUGUCAGGCUAGAGUGUAGUAGAGGGAAGCGGAAUUCCGGGUGUAGCGGUGAAAUGCGUAGAUAUCCGGAGGAACAUCAGUGGCGAAGGCGGCUUCCUGGACUAACACUGACGCUGAGGUGCGAAAGCGUGG